Molecule: ribosomal RNA, 497 nt
Filed under: uncultured bacterium
Lineage: Bacteria
Description: partial 16S ribosomal RNA
Rfam family: Bacterial small subunit ribosomal RNA
Source: RNAcentral
GAUGAACGCUGGCGGCGUGCCUAAUACAUGCAAGUCGAGCGAACAGACGAGGAGCUUGCUCCUCUGACGUUAGCGGCGGACGGGUGAGUAAAACGUGGAUAACCUACCUAUAAGACUGGGAUAACUUCGGGAAACCGGAGCUAAUACCGGAUAAUAUAUUGAACCGCAUGGUUCAAUAGUGAAAGACGGUUUUGCUGUCACUUAUAGAUGGAUCCGCGCCGCAUUAGCUAGUUGGGAAGGUAACGGCUUACCAAGGCAACGAUGCGUAGCCGACCUGAGAGGGUGAUCGGCCACACUGGAACUGAGACACGGUCCAGACUCCUACGGGAGGCAGCAGUAGGGAAUCGUCCGCAAUGGGCGAAAGGCUGACGUAGCAACGCCGCGUGAGUGAUGAAGGUCUUCGGAUCGUAAAACUCUGUUAUUAGGGAAGAACAAAUGUGUAAGUAACUAUGCACGUCUUGACGGUACCUAAUCAGAAAGCAACGGCUAACUACGUG